AAUAGUGAGGCCAAAUUCCUAAGAUGAUCGUUGAUAUAUCCAGGGAGACUCGAAUGGUAUGAAGUUAGAAAAGAAGAGGGUGACUACUCUCUCUUGUCCUCCUCACCUUCCCCAAGAAACACAUGGUGAUCUGCUGAACUUGAUAGCUUCCUUUCCUUUCUUUCUAGCUUGCUGGCCAAGUCAAUGCCGGCCACCUUAACUCCGCUUCCACUAGUGAGCGAGAUACCCUCCUCAUCAAAGUCAUCCACAGUCUCCUCGGAUUCUACAGGUUGCCAUACAAGCGAAAGGCCAACUGAAGCAAAUUCAGAAACUUGGUGCAUGCAAUAAAAGGUGGCAGGGAUUUAGAGUACAUACCCGGUUGGGUUGUGAGAUGGAGCCCAGAGAACACAUAUAACUACCAACAGAAAGUAUGCAAGCAAAACCCAGAAAGCUGGGAUGAUCCAGGCUCUUCGCCACAAUUCACUCAACGGGUCACUCGCAUUAAAAUACAACUGAACAGAGAAAAAUCAGAAGCUUAGUAUCUCAGACAUCCAUAAGUUGUACAACUCUGAGUCUCAGUAACAGGAACAUACAGAACGUUUGUGAUCUAAUGAUUUAAAAGGUACUAUGCGGACAGCAAUAUCCCAAGGGUAAAGUGCUUAUAGACUUUGCUUAACAAAAAGAUAAUGAAGAGAUUUGGGCAUCCUUGCUGAACAGGAACUACUUGAGGAUUGCUGAACAGGAACUACUUGAGGAUUAAUGAUCACUGUUAAAAAGCCAGUUGGGUGGAAGAAGAAAGGAACAAUAAAUCAAAGAAAGCGAACCUCAUAACCAAUCCAAGCGACAGACAGCAAUACUGAUACUGCAAGGGAAUUGGUAAACUUCCGGUAGAGCUCAAGUUUGGCCAUGCUUCUUCGAAUCUGUGAAUACAGUGGACAAAGGGACAUAUUCACUUGGUUCAUCAAACUAAACACAAAACGUCGCAUUCAAUAAAUGAAGCUAAUGUAUCAUUCCAUCCAUGAUAUAGGCAAAACAGACAUCUACCAUCCACAGUUAACAUUUAACAUUCUCAAGUUGUCAUAGAAGUAGAUCUUAUUCUAUUCCUAACCACUAACAUACCUUCUAACCAUCACAGUUUUUUUAAGGCGUUCAGGCAGUAAAAUACAGAAUGGAUGCAAAUUUAUUGUA
Molecule: long non-coding RNA, 1167 nt
Organism: Rosa chinensis
Lineage: Eukaryota; Viridiplantae; Streptophyta; Magnoliopsida; Rosales; Rosaceae
Exons: 2
Source: RefSeq, a predicted model, not a curated record